GACGUCAGAUAGCAUGCAUGUCUAGUAUAAGGAUACAUACUGGACUGCGCAAGGGCUCUUCACACUUAUAUUUUUUUUGAAUUUAAUUUUACUGGAUGGAUAACCGUUUCUUUCUAGGGAUAUGCUUGCGUUAUGACUUACUGGCGGAACCCCUUUAUUUAUUACAUUCCAACCUUCCUCCGAAGGUCUGUUAUGAUGAUUCUGAUGAUGAUCCAUUGCUGGUGACCGGCAAUAAAUCAUUCAUGUUUCUGCUUCCCAUCUUUUGAUGGUAGUGUAUUGGACUACCAUGGCAUUCACGGGCUAUCGGGAUUUAGGGUUCGAUUCCGGAGGGGCCCUGAACCGGCUACCACUUCUACAAACCCCGGCCAAAUUUAUCCUCCCUGAUUCGGGAUAAGGAAAAAAUAAUGACCGGAAUUUAUCCUGGGGCUUGUGGGCUUGAUUUGCAAACUCCUUUCCGAGGAACUUUUGGAGGGCAACUCUGGUCCCCCCGUGCCCCCCCCCCCC
Molecule: ribosomal RNA, 504 nt
Filed under: uncultured eukaryote
Lineage: Eukaryota
Description: partial 18S ribosomal RNA
Rfam family: Eukaryotic small subunit ribosomal RNA (bases 20-329)
Source: RNAcentral